CCCAAAACGUAGCCAUCGCUAUCCUCUUUCAUCCAAUGUGUUUACUAUUGUACUAGAUGUUAUGGUUCUUUCAUAAAUGUCACCAAAGCACAGCCUCCUCCCUCCAACUCCUCCAUAGACUCUAAUGUUAAAAUGGCUCUGAAGGUUCGUUUGAAAAUCAGAAGAGCAUGGUGUUUUUAUACUGUCACCACGUCCAUAUAAUAAACUCCACAGGCAUGAAACUGAGAAUUAGGUAGACUGGACAUUGCUGCCGCUCACGGUGAAAGAAUUUCGUGAAUAGGACCUGUACUUUUCAUUUGGGAGCGAUUUGUUUCGGCCUGACUUUUCUGUUCAUUUUAAGCAGCAAAAGUGAGGUGCAUGUCUGUGUGCGUGUGUACUGAGCCAUUGGGUGCAGUUACUAUAGCACCAGGCUCACACCUGCCUGCCUAACGAGCUCUGUCUCUCACUCUGCCAAGAUUCAUCUUAAACACUUCUCUUUCAACUGCUGCUGUGUCCACAGUGUUUGCUCUACAGCCAUCAUUUUACCCUCAAAACGAAGCCAUCGUUCUUCUCUUUCCAACAGCAUGUCUUUCAAAGCUCAGAGAUGUAAACCUUUAAAAGUGUGUGGAUCCAAGUGGAGGGAUUACACUUUAGUCAUUCAGUGAUUCAAAGAAUAUGAACUUUUAAUAUUCAUUCAGAGGUUUUCUGACUCUAAAUUUUCUGUUCUCAUUUCUUAGGUUUUCCAAAUUUUAAUUUAAAAACUUUUCAGCUAUUUUCCAACUUCUUCUGUGUGAACAUCAGCUUUCAAAAGUUCUGCACUUUUGUUUUCAGGUUAAAAACUCUGUAUUUUCCAGCUCAUUCAACAUUUUUAUUUUUAACUCAAAAUUCAGCAAUUAAUUCAUUUCAGUGCAUACAUUCAGAUUCAAGCAUUCACACUGCAGUUUCUUCAGAAAAUGCACUUUCUAGUUAUUAUUAUUAUUAUUAUAUCAUAUUCCGUACGUUUUUGUGCAUCUAUCUCCUUCAACACCGUUCAACUUAGAAAAACCAUUCAAACACCAUUAGAUUCCUCUUCUUUUGGACAAGUGUGCUUGUAUUUUUCUCAUUUAUAACAUUUAUAUUUUUAAAAUUAUUCAACUUUUUUCAACAAAAUUUUCCCAUGUAUUUCAAUGGGGAGACCCUUCAAAUUCUCCUUCAACUUACUCCUCUUUAAACUGUAUGUACUUCCACAUACGUUGACAUAGAUCCACCAUUCAAACUUUAAAACGAAGACAAGACAUUCAACUAUUCAAGUUGUAUUUAUCUUUUCAAUAUCUAUUAUACUUUUUCUUCAGUUCCAGUUUAAGUUUCAUGAUGUUUUUUCAGCCGUUUCAGAGUUUAUAAUGGGUGUGUAUGGGACGGAAUGUUGGGGCUAGAGUGAGACAGCUCAACUGCUAGAGUGAGAGGAGCAAAAAAAUUCAUCUUAAAAUAUUUUUUAAAACUGCUGCUGUGUCCACAGUGUUUGGUCUACAGGUAUGAUUUUACCCUCAAAACGUAGCCAUCGCUGUCCUCUUUCACCAAAUGUGUUUACUAUUGUACUAGGUGUUAUGGUUCUUUCAUAAAUGUCACCCAUGCACAGCCUCCUCCCUCCAACUCCUCCAUAGACUCUAAUGUUAAAAUGGCUCAGAAGGUUCGUUUGAAAACCAGAAGUACAGGCUGUCUUUACACUGUCACCACGUCCAUAUAAUAAACUCCACAAGCAUGAAACUGAGAAUUAGGUAGACUGGACAUUGCUGUCGCUCACGGUGAAAGAAUUUUGUCAAUAGGACCUGUACUUUUCAUUUGGGAGCGAUUUGUUUCGACCUGACUUUUCUGUUCAUUUUAAGCAGCAAAAGUGAGGUGCAUGUCUGUGCGCGUGUAUAUGGAGCCAGUGGGUGCAGUCACUAUAGCAACCAGGCUCACACCUGCCUGCCUGCCUAACUAGCUCUCUCUCACUCUGCCAAUAUUCAUCUUAAACACUUCUCUUUCAACUGCUGCUGUGUCCACAGUGUUUGCUCUACAGCCAUCAUUUUACCCUCAAAACGAAGCCAUUGUUGUUCUCUUUCCAACAGCAUGUCUUUCAAAGCUCAGAGAUGUAAACCUUUAAAAGUGUGUGGAUCCAAGUGGAGGGAUUACACUUUAGUCAUUCAGUGAUUCAAAGAAUAUGAACUUUUAAUAUUCAUUCAGAUGUUUUCUGACUCUAAAUUUUCUGUUCUCAUUUCUUAGGUUUUCCAAAUUUUAAUUUAAAAACUUUUCAGCUAUUUUCCAACUUCUUUUGUGUGAACAUCAGCUUUCAAAGUUCUGCACUUUUGUUUUCAGGUUAAAACUCUGUAUUUUCCAGCUCAUUCAACAUUUUUAUUUUUAACUUAAAAUUCAGCAAUUAAUUCAUUUCAGUGCAUACAUUCAGAUUCAAGCAUUCA
This 2414-nucleotide long non-coding RNA is filed under the name Oreochromis niloticus (Nile tilapia). Its description in RNAcentral is "lncRNA (ENSONIG00000040822.1)". Lineage: Eukaryota; Metazoa; Chordata; Actinopteri; Cichliformes; Cichlidae. The record is from RNAcentral.